GCCUUCGUGGUGUAGUGGUCAGCAUACUCGACGUGUAACCGAGAGGUCCGUGGUUCGAUUCCUGGCGAGGGCG
Stegodyphus mimosarum is the source of this 73-nucleotide non-coding RNA. Lineage: Eukaryota; Metazoa; Arthropoda; Arachnida; Araneae; Eresidae. The record is from Rfam.